RNAcentral lists this ribosomal RNA (395 nucleotides) under uncultured microorganism. RNAcentral describes it as "partial 16S ribosomal RNA". It matches the Rfam family "Archaeal small subunit ribosomal RNA", at positions 330 to 728 of the family's 1478-position model. The record is from RNAcentral.
GCGCAGCAGUCGCGAAACCUCCGCAAUGCGGGCAACCGUGACGGGGUCACCCCGAGUGCCCCCCUCGUGGGGGCUUUUCCCCGCUGUAGGAAGGCGGGGGAAUAAGCGGGGGGCAAGACUGGUGUCAGCCGCCGCGGUAAUACCAGCCCCGCGAGUGGUCGGGGUGAUUAUUGGGCCUAAAGCGCCCGUAGCCGGCCCGGCAAGUCUCCCUCUAAAAGCCCCGGGCUCAACCCGGGGAGUGGGGGAGAUACUGCCGGGCUAGGGGGCGGGAGAGGCCGAGGGUACGUCCCGGGGUAGGGGCGAAAUCCUAUAAUCCCGGGAGGACCACCAGUGGCGAAGGCGCUCGGCUGGAACGCGCCCGACGGUGAGGGGCGAAAGCCGGGGAGCGAACCGGA